This 253-nucleotide ribosomal RNA is filed under the name uncultured bacterium. Its description in RNAcentral is "partial 16S ribosomal RNA". It matches the Rfam family "Bacterial small subunit ribosomal RNA", at positions 524 to 776 of the family's 1533-position model. The record is from RNAcentral.
UACGGAGGGGACUAGCGUUGUUCGGAAUUACUGGGCGUAAAGCGCACGUAGGCGGAUUUGUAAGUCAGGGGUGAAAUCCCGGGGCUCAACCUCGGAACUGCCUUUGAUACUGCAAAUCUCGAGUCCGGAAGAGGUGAGUGGAACUGCGAGUGUAGAGGUGAAAUUCGUAGAUAUUCGGAAGAACACCAGUGGCGAAGGCGGCUCACUGGACCGGUAUUGACGCUGAGGUGCGAAAGCGUGGGAAGCAAACAGG